UUUUCAUGUUAAAAUCUCAUAUGCAACGAUGGCAAGAUGAAGCAAGAAAUGAGGUUAAUUAACUGUAAAGUAUGCAAGGGUUCAGGAUUGAUAUUCUGCAAUAAAUGUGGAGGUUCUGGCUAUUCCCGUCGGCUAUGAGCUCUGAAAUUACUGUUAUAUCCAAAAACCAUCUGUUCUGAAAUAUGUAAGAUCUUGUAACAAUUUUACUGUCCAUAGUGUCUUUUUUCAGUGAAUCAUUUUAAUCAAGCUAAUCUGCGGCCCUUUGAGGUAUUGGCCAAUUGCUUUUGCAUAAAAUCAGUCAAAUUUUGUUCUAAUGUUAAAUUUC
Molecule: long non-coding RNA, 325 nt
Organism: Glycine soja
Lineage: Eukaryota; Viridiplantae; Streptophyta; Magnoliopsida; Fabales; Fabaceae
Exons: 2
Source: RefSeq, a predicted model, not a curated record